This 685-nucleotide ribosomal RNA is filed under the name Salmonella enterica subsp. enterica serovar Indiana. Its description in RNAcentral is "partial 23S ribosomal RNA". It matches the Rfam family "Bacterial large subunit ribosomal RNA", at positions 583 to 1269 of the family's 2925-position model. The record is from RNAcentral. Lineage: Bacteria; Pseudomonadati; Pseudomonadota; Gammaproteobacteria; Enterobacterales; Enterobacteriaceae.
CUUCGGGGUGUGACUGCGUACCUUUUGUAUAAUGGGUCAGCGACUUAUAUUCUGUAGCAAGGUUAACCGAAUAGGGGAGCCGGAGGGAAACCGAGUCUUAAUUGGGCGUUAAGUUGCAGGGUAUAGACCCGAAACCCGGUGAUCUAGCCAUGGGCAGGUUGAAGGUUGGGUAACACUAACUGGAGGACCGAACCGACUAAUGUUGAAAAAUUAGCGGAUGACCUGUGGCUGGGGGUGAAAGGCCAAUCAAACCGGGAGAUAGCUGGUUCUCCCCGAAAGCUAUUUAGGUAGCGCCUCGUGAAUUCAUCUCCGGGGGUAGAGCACUGUUUCGGCUAGGGGGCCAUCCCGGCUUACCAACCCGAUGCAAACUGCGAAUACCGGAGAAUGUUAUCACGGGAGACACACGGCGGGUGCUAACGUCCGUCGUGAAGAGGGAAACAACCCAGACCGCCAGCUAAGGUCCCAAAGUCAUGGUUAAGUGGGAAACGAUGUGGGAAGGCCCAGACAGCCAGGAUGUUGGCUUAGAAGCAGCCAUCAUUUAAAGAAAGCGUAAUAGCUCACUGGUCGAGUCGGCCUGCGCGGAAGAUGUAACGGGGCUAAACCAUGCACCGAAGCUGCGGCAGCGACACUGUGUGUUGUUGGGUAGGGGAGCGUUCUGUAAGCCUGCGAAGGUGGCCUGUGAGGG